Molecule: ribosomal RNA, 263 nt
Filed under: Staphylococcus aureus
Lineage: Bacteria; Bacillati; Bacillota; Bacilli; Caryophanales; Staphylococcaceae
Description: partial 16S ribosomal RNA
Rfam family: Bacterial small subunit ribosomal RNA
Source: RNAcentral
UUUAUGGAGAGUUUGAUCCUGGCUCAGGAUGAACGCUGGCGGCGUGCCUAAUACAUGCAAGUCGAGCGAACGGACGAGAAGCUUGCUUCUCUGAUGUUAGCGGCGGACGGGUGAGUAACACGUGGAUAACCUACCUAUAAGACUGGGAUAACUUCGGGAAACGGGAGCUAAUACCGGAUAAUAUUUUGAACCGCAUGGUUCAAAAGUGAAAGACGGUCUUGCUGUCACUUAUAGAUGGAUCCGCGCUGCAUUAGCUAGUUGGU